AGUCAAGUAAUUAAGUGCAUGUGGUGGAUGCCUUGGCAGUCAGAGGCGAUGAAAGACGUGAUAGCCUGCGAAAAGCUCCGGGGAGGCGGCAAAUAUCCUUUGAUCCGGAGAUGUCUGAAUGGGGGAACCCACCUACUUUAAGGUAGGUAUUGCAACAUGAAUACAUAGUGUUGCAAGGCGAACGAGGGGAAGUGAAACAUCUCAGUACCCUUAGGAAAAGAAAUCAAUUGAGAUUCCCUCAGUAGCGGCGAGCGAACGGGGAUCAGCCCAUUAAGUUAUGUGUGUUUUAGUGGAACGCUCUGGGAAGUGCGAACGUAGAGGGUGAUAUUCCCGUACACGAAAGGGCACACAUAAUGAUGACGAGUAGGGCGAGGCACGUGAAACCUUGUCUGAAUAUGGGGGGACCAUCCUCCAAGGCUAAAUACUCCUGACUGACCGAUAGUGAACCAGUACCGUGAGGGAAAGGCGAAAAGAACCCCUGUGAGGGGAGUGAAAUAGAUCCUGAAACCGCAUGCAUACAAGCAGUGGGAGCACCUUCGUGGUGUGACUGCGUACCUUUUGUAUAAUGGGUCAGCGACUUAUAUUCAGUAGCAAGGUUAACCGUAUAGGGGAGCCGUAGAGAAAUCGAGUCUUAAUAGGGCGUUUAGUUGCUGGGUAUAGACCCGAAACCAGGCGAUCUAUCCAUGAGCAGGUUGAAGGUUGGGUAACACUAACUGGAGGACCGAACCCACUGUCGUUGAAAAGCCAGGGGAUGACUUGUGGAUAGGGGUGAAAGGCUAAUCAAGCCUGGUGAUAGCUGGUUCUCCCCGAAAGCUAUUUAGGUAGCGCCUCGGACGAAUACCAUAGGGGGUAGAGCACUGUUUCGGCUAGGGGGUCAUCCCGACUUACCAAACCGAUGCAAACUCCGAAUACCUAUGAGUACUAUCCGGGAGACAGACUGCGGGUGCUAACGUCCGUAGUCAAGAGGAAAACAAUCCAGACCGCCAGCUAAGGCCCCAAAAUCAUAGUUAAGUGGGAAACGAUGUGGGAAGGCAUAGACAGCUAGGAGGUUGGCUUAGAAGCAGCCACCCUUUAAAGAAAGCGUAAUAGCUCACUAGUCGAGUCGGCCUGCGCGGAAGAUGUAACGGGGCUAAAACUAUGUGCCGAAGCUGCGGAUUUGACAUUAGUCAAGUGGUAGGGGAGCGUUCUGUAAGCCGAUGAAGGUGUAUUGAGAAGUAUGCUGGAGGUAUCAGAAGUGCGAAUGCUGACGUGAGUAACGACAAAACGGGUGAAAAACCCGUUCGCCGAAAGACCAAGGGUUCCAGUCCAACGUUAAUCGGGGCUGGGUGAGUCGACCCCUAAGGCGAGGCCGAAAGGCGUAGUCGAUGGGAAAAUGGUUAAUAUUCCAUUACUUCUGUGUAAUGCGAUGAGAGGACGGAGAAGGCUAAAUCAGCCUGGCGUUGGUUGUCCAGGUGAAAGGAUGUAGGCAUGUAUCUUAGGCAAAUCCGGGGUACUCUAUGCUGAGAUCUGAUAGCAAGCUGUACUUGUACAGCGAAGUGGUUGAUGCCAUGCUUCCAGGAAAAGUCUCUAAGCUUCAGUUACACAGGAAUCGUACCCGAAACCGACACAGGUGGUCAGGUCGAGUAGACCAAGGCGCUUGAGAGAACUCUGCUGAAGGAACUAGGCAAAAUGGUACCGUAACUUCGGGAGAAGGUACGCUGUUGUUGGUGAUGGAACUCGCUUCCUGAGCUGACGACAGCCGCAGAAACCAGGCCGCUGCAACUGUUUAUUAAAAACAUAGCACUCUGCAAACACGAAAGUGGACGUAUAGGGUGUGAUGCCUGCCCGGUGCUGGAAGGUUAAUUGAUGGGGUUAGCGUAAGCGAAGCUCUUGAUCGAAGCCCCAGUAAACGGCGGCCGUAACUAUAACGGUCCUAAGGUAGCGAAAUUCCUUGUCGGGUAAGUUCCGACCUGCACGAAUGGCAUAAUGAUGGCGGCGCUGUCUCCAGCAGAGGCUCAGUGAAAUCGAAAUCGCUGUGAAGAUGCA
This 2025-nucleotide ribosomal RNA is filed under the name Acinetobacter baumannii. Its description in RNAcentral is "partial 23S ribosomal RNA". It matches the Rfam family "Bacterial large subunit ribosomal RNA", at positions 1 to 2063 of the family's 2925-position model. The record is from RNAcentral. Lineage: Bacteria; Pseudomonadati; Pseudomonadota; Gammaproteobacteria; Moraxellales; Moraxellaceae.